GUGCCAGCAGCCGCGGUAAUACGUAGGGUGCAAGCAUUAAUCGGAUUUAUUGGGCGUAAAGGGCGCGUAGGCGGAAAGGAAAGUCGGAUGUGAAAUCCCGGGACUCAACCCCGGAACUGCAUCUGAAACUUCCUUUCUAGAGGGUAGACGGAGAAAAUGGAAUUCCACAAGUAGCGGUGAAAUGCGUAGAUAUGUGGAAGAACACCAGUGGCGAAGGCGGUUUUCUAGUCUACACCUGACGCUGAGGCGCGAAAGCUAGGGGAGCAAACAGGAUUAGAUACCCUGGUAGUCCUAGCCGUAAACGAUGCAUACUUGGUGUAUUCGGACUCAACCCCGGAUGUGCCGAAGCUAACGCGGUAAGUAUGCCGCCUGGGGAGUACAGUCGCAAGGCUGAA
This 395-nucleotide ribosomal RNA is filed under the name uncultured bacterium. Its description in RNAcentral is "bacterial SSU rRNA". It matches the Rfam family "Bacterial small subunit ribosomal RNA", at positions 505 to 898 of the family's 1533-position model. The record is from RNAcentral.